Molecule: non-coding RNA, 26 nt
Filed under: Rattus norvegicus (Norway rat)
Lineage: Eukaryota; Metazoa; Chordata; Mammalia; Rodentia; Muridae
Source: RNAcentral
UUGGAUCCUGUCACACACAACUGUUG